RNAcentral lists this ribosomal RNA (1233 nucleotides) under metagenome. RNAcentral's name for it is "bacterial LSU rRNA". It matches the Rfam family "Bacterial large subunit ribosomal RNA", at positions 1564 to 2808 of the family's 2925-position model. The record is from RNAcentral.
UGAAUACGAGACGCUAAGGCGUCGAAGUAGUGUAUGUCAUACUUCCAAGAAAAGCUUGCACUGUCAUAGAUAAAAAACGCCUGUACCAUAACCGACACAGGUGGGUAGGUAGAGUAUACUAAGGGGCGCGAGAUAACUCUCUCUAAGAACUCGGCAAAAUAACUCCGUAACUUCGGGAGAAGGAGUGCCUUAUUCGUAAGGUUGCAAUAACAAGAUCCAAGCAACUGUUUAUCAAAAACACAGGUCUCCGCUAAGUCGUAAGACGAUGUAUGGGGGCUGACGCCUGCCCAGUGCCAGAAGGUUAAAGAAGUUGGUUAGCAAUUGCGAAGCUGAUAACUGAAGCCCUGGUGAACGGCGGCCGUAACUAUAACGGUCCUAAGGUAGCGAAAUUCCUUGUCGGGUAAGUUCCGACCCGCACGAAAGGCGUAAUGAUUUGGAUACUGUCUCGGAGAGGGGCUCGGUGAAAUAGACUUGUCUGUGAAGAUGCGGACUACCUGCACCAGGACAGAAAGACCCUAUGAAGCUUUACUGUAACUUGAAAUUGAAAUUGGACUUUAUUCGCGCAGUAUAGGUGGGAGGCGUUGAUUAUAAUCUUGUGGGAUUAUUGGAGCCAUCAGUGAGAUACCACUCUUGUAAUGUUAGAUUUCUAACUUUGAAUCAUUAUCUGGUCUAAGAACAGUUUCAGGCGGGCAGUUUGACUGGGGCGGUCGCCUCCUAAACGGUAACGGAGGCGUACAAAGGUUUCCUCUGAACGGUUAGAAAUCGUAUCUAGAGUGUAAAGGCAUAAGGAAGCUUGACUGUGAGACCUACAAGUCGAGCAGGGACGAAAGUCGGUCUUAGUGAUCUGACGGUACUGAGUGGAAAGGCCGUCACUCAACGGAUAAAAGUUACUCUAGGAUAACAGGCUGAUCUCCCCCAAGAGUUCACAUCGACGGGGAGGUUUGGCACCUCGAUGUCGGCUCAUCGCAUCCUGGGGCGGUAGUACGUCCCAAGGGUUGGGCUGUUCGCCCAUGAAAGCGGUACGCGAGCUGGGUUCAGAACGUCGUGAGACAGUUCGGUCCAUAUCCGGUGUAGGCGUUAGAAUAUUGAGAGGAGCCUUCUUUAGUACGAGAGGACCGAGAAGGACAUACCUCUGGUGUACCAGUUAUCGUGCCAACGGUAAACGCUGGGUAGCUAUGUAUGGAGUGGAUAACCGCUGAAAGCAUCUAAGUGGGAAGCCCACCUCAAGAUAAG